This 468-nucleotide ribosomal RNA is filed under the name uncultured bacterium. RNAcentral describes it as "partial 16S ribosomal RNA". It matches the Rfam family "Bacterial small subunit ribosomal RNA", at positions 28 to 507 of the family's 1533-position model. The record is from RNAcentral.
GACGAACGCUGGCGGCGUGCUUAACACAUGCAAGUCGAACGGAAAGGCCCUGCUUUUGUGGGGUGCUCGAGUGGCGAACGGGUGAGUAACACGUGAGUAACCUGCCCUUGACUUUGGGAUAACUUCAGGAAACUGGGGCUAAUACCGGAUAGGAGCUCCUGCUGCAUGGUGGGGGUUGGAAAGUUUCGGCGGUUGGGGAUGUACUCGCGGCUUAUCAGCUUGUUGGUGGGGUAGUGGCUUACCAAGGCUUUGACGGGUAGCCGGCCUGAGAGGGUGACCGGCCACAUUGGGACUGAGGUACGGCCCAGACUCAUACGGGAGGCAGCAGUGGGGAAUAUUGCACAAUGGGCGGAAGCCUGAUGCAGCAACGCCGCGUGCGGGAUGACUGCCUUCGGGUUGUAAAACGUUUUAGCCUGUGACGAAGCGUGAGUGACGGUAAUGGGUAAAGAAGCACCGGCUAACUACGUG